This 256-nucleotide ribosomal RNA is filed under the name uncultured bacterium. RNAcentral's name for it is "partial 16S ribosomal RNA". It matches the Rfam family "Bacterial small subunit ribosomal RNA", at positions 524 to 777 of the family's 1533-position model. The record is from RNAcentral.
UACAGAGGGGGGCAAGCGUUGUUCGGAAUUACUGGGCGUAAAGGGCUCGUAGGCGGCCAACUAAGUCAGACGUGAAAUCCCUCAGCUUAACUGGGGAACUGCGUCUGAUACUGGAUGGCUUGGAUUCGGGAGAGGAAUGCGGAAUUCCAGGUGUAGCGGUGAAAUGCGUAGAUAUCUGGAGGAACACCGGUGGCGAAGGCGGCAUUCUGGACCGAUAUUGACGCUGAGGAGCGAAAGCCAGGGGGAGCAAAGCGGG